Molecule: ribosomal RNA, 389 nt
Filed under: Rhizochromulina marina
Lineage: Eukaryota; Dictyochophyceae; Rhizochromulinales
Description: partial Eukaryotic large subunit ribosomal RNA
Rfam family: Eukaryotic large subunit ribosomal RNA
Source: RNAcentral
AAUCGAACCAUCUAGUAGCUGGUUUCCUCCGAAGUUUCCCUCAGGAUAGCUGGAGCUUGUAGUACAGUUUUAUCAGGUAAAGCUAAUGAUUAGAGGAUGUUGAGUUGAAACAACUUGCACCUAUUCUCAAACUUUAAAUAGGUAAGAAGCCGUUUGAUAUAAUCUUGAUUGAUCAUCGGCCUCGAAUGGAAGCUCUUAGUGGGCCAUUUUUGGUAAGCAGAACUGGCGAUGCGGGAUGAACCGGACGUUUGGUUAAGGUGCCCAACUGGUCACUCAUCUAGAUACCAUAAAAGGUGUUGGUUGAUCUGGACAGCAGGACGGUGGUCAUGGAAGUCGAAAUCCGCUAAGGAGUGUGUAACAACUCCCCUGCCGAAUGAACUAGCCCUGAA